GAUGCCUUCCAAGCAUUCGACGGGGGUUCGAUUCCCCCCGAACGCA
RNAcentral lists this transfer RNA (46 nucleotides) under Haemonchus placei. It matches the Rfam family "tRNA", at positions 26 to 71 of the family's 71-position model. From Rfam's summary of the family: Transfer RNA (tRNA) molecules are approximately 80 nucleotides in length. Their secondary structure includes four short double-helical elements and three loops (D, anti-codon, and T loops). Lineage: Eukaryota; Metazoa; Nematoda; Chromadorea; Rhabditida; Trichostrongylidae. The record is from Rfam by way of RNAcentral.